Molecule: long non-coding RNA, 419 nt
Organism: Notolabrus celidotus (New Zealand spotty)
Lineage: Eukaryota; Metazoa; Chordata; Actinopteri; Labriformes; Labridae
Exons: 2
Source: RefSeq, a predicted model, not a curated record
GUGAGGAUGUAUGAUGCGCAUGAGUCGCUAUUAUUAGAGGACAGUGCACGUGUACUUCAAAUGUGACAAUAAAACCGUGGUCAGACUGAGCUCCGGCACUGCAAUAAGAGAAUCAGGUCAUCCAGAGAGCGAGCCAGGCUGAGACGUUUGGAGCGUCCAAAUGACCGUCUGGCUGAUGAGCGCGGGAGUGGAGGGAAGCCCAUGGUUAGACCACGAAACCGACCGCCCUGAGGAGAUGAAUAAACAAACGUUCAGGACACAUGUUAUAUGUAACACAGAACAUACAGCUGAGGGUAGCAGUCAGUCAGAGAAGCAAGCUGGUGGUGAAGAUGAUAUUCUAAUCUUAAGUGUAAAAAAGGUUGUUGACCCACUUCAUAGGGUCCUACAUGAAAAAUAAAACUAAGUUUAUGCGUAUGCUU